RNAcentral lists this ribosomal RNA (460 nucleotides) under uncultured bacterium. RNAcentral's name for it is "partial 16S ribosomal RNA". It matches the Rfam family "Bacterial small subunit ribosomal RNA", at positions 338 to 795 of the family's 1533-position model. The record is from RNAcentral.
CCUACGGGAGGCAGCAGUGAGGAAUAUUGGUCAAUGGGCGCGAGCCUGAUCCAGCCAAGUAGCGUGAAGGAUGACUUCCCUACGGGUUGUAAACUUCUUUUAUAAAGGAAUAAAGUGAGGCACGUGUGCCUUUUUGUAUGUACUUUAUGAAUAAGGAUCGGCUAACUCCGUGCCAGCAGCCGCGGUAAUACGGAGGUUCCGAGCGUUAUCCGGAUUUAUUGGGUUUAAAGGGAGCGUAGAUGGGUUGUUAAGUCAGUUGUGAAAGUUUGCGGCUCAACCGUAAAAUUGCAUUUGAAACUGGCAGUCUUGAGUACAGUUGAGGUAAGCGGAAUUCGUGGUGUAGCGGUGAAAUGCUUAGAUAUCACGAAGAACUCCGAUUGCGAAGGCAGCUUACUAAACUGCAACUGACAUUGAUGCACGAAAGUGUGGGUAUCAAACAGGAUUAGAUACCCGUGUAGUC